GACGAACGCUGGCGGCGUGCUUCAUACAUGCAAGUCGAACGAGAAGCUGACUUCGGUCAGUGGACAGUGGCGGACGGGUGAGUAAUAUGUAGGAAAUCUGCCUUUAGGAGGGGGACAACAGAGGGAAACUUCUGCUAAUACCCCAUAUGAGCGUAGCUGAAAUGCUAUUCUUGAAAACUCCGGUGCCUAAAGAUGAGCCUGCAUCUGAUUAGCUAGUUGGUAGUGUAAUGGACUACCAAGGCGACGAUCAGUAGCUGGUUUGAGAGGAUGAUCAGCCACAAUGGGACUGAGACACGGCCCAUACUCCUACGGGAGGCAGCAGUAGGGAAUUUUGCGCAAGGGGCGAAAGCCUGACGCAGCAACGCCGCGUGAACGAUUAAGCCCUUCGGGGUGUAAAGUUCUGUCAGUGGGGACGAAACUUGACGGUACCCACAGAGGAAGCACCGGCUAACUCCGUG
Molecule: ribosomal RNA, 458 nt
Filed under: uncultured bacterium
Lineage: Bacteria
Description: partial 16S ribosomal RNA
Rfam family: Bacterial small subunit ribosomal RNA
Source: RNAcentral